Canis lupus familiaris (dog) is the source of this 1606-nucleotide long non-coding RNA. RefSeq lists it as uncharacterized. The record is from RefSeq and is a predicted model, not a curated record. The transcript is spliced from 3 exons. Lineage: Eukaryota; Metazoa; Chordata; Mammalia; Carnivora; Canidae.
GGAGAAGCUGGAGGGCGCGGUGGCCUGUGGCCUAAACGGGGCAAGGUCACCCACGGGACUAGCAGGCCUGGGGCCCGGCGAGGCGGGUUGAGCGGGAGGCCCCCUGCGCCUGGCCCGCCACCGCCAUCUAGGGUUUCAGGAAGUUCACUGUGGCUGCUGUGCUGAGAAUACUGUCGGAAGGUGAGGAGAGAGCUGGCGGUGGAGCCCCCCCAGAUGAUAGCUGUGGCUGGGGUGAGGGUGCUGGAUUCCGGACCCUGCAUUUGAGGAUGGCGCUGACACUCUGGAACGGGGCAGCCCCGGUGGACGGCGGCUCACCCCGCGGAAGCUGAAACGAGCCAUUGGACCUGAGCAGGGAAGGUCCGGAGGAACUUGCGCCGUGACUGCAUACCCUUCGGGCACCCCUGAGGACCCAUGUCGAAGGUUGACCUGAGGGUCUCAGAUGCUGAGGACAGCCCCAGGAAACAGACCUUUGGGUGCCUGGUGCCUUGGGUUCCACCAAGAGGGAAUAGGGAGACCCGGAGGAGGCCUCUCCACAGCGAACACUGCCCCUCCCUCUCGGGCCCUCACAUUGUCCUCUGAGCUCGAGCUCAGAGAACUGUCUCUGCAACGUUUGCCUGGAAUGUUCCCUCCCCUCUGGUCCAGGAGGGACAUUGGUGUGUGGUCUGUGAGAUGCAGGCCCAGGAGCCUUGCUCCACGGCUGACCGAUCCUGUGUAACCCCCCGGCGGGGCCACCUCCCUCUGCGAAGGGGCUUCUAACCACCAGCUCUGCAGUGAGGAGCAUGCAGGCCCGCCUCAGCUGCCACGCUGGCCGGUGGCCACCCCUGCUCGGCAGGUGCUGCCUGGCCUGCGGCAUUGAGCCCCUCCAUCCCUAAGGUGCCCGCAGCUGGAGGGGGAACACCUACCCCUGGUGCAGCCGGCUGAGAGUUCAACGGGAAGAUGCAAGUAAAGCACCUGGAGGGGUAGAGGCCCACGAUGCAAGGGCCAAAGCGUGAGCCCUCGUUCUGCGUCCCUGGCCCCCUUGCACCCACAGUGUAGGAGCGAGAACGAAAGAGUGAAUGUGAGCAUCCGGGUUGCUCAGUGGUUGAGCAUCUGCCUUUGGCCCAGGGCGUGACCCCGGGGUCCUGGGAUCAAGUCCCACAUCCAGCUCCCUGCAUGAAGCCUGCUUCUCCCUCUGCCGGUGUCUCUACCUCUCUCUCCGUGUCUCUCAUGAAUAAAUACCUAAAAUCUUAAAAAAAUGAAUGAGGCUGGAGAUCUUCAGGGUCUGGAAUCAGCCUGUGAAUGUUUUCCUUUAGGACUCCACGGAACAGUAAGUAUUUGUGACUGUGUCUGAGGCCCCCACCUUCACUGCAGGCCACCCUGGAAGCAGUGGACACCCAAAAGAGUACUCAAGACCAUGUGCUUGAGCCCUGCGGCUGCUGGGGUACAGGAGGCAGGAGCAGAAGCUACCAGACAUGGUCAGCCUGACCUACCAAGAGGAAGAACCUUCUGGGUCUUCACUGUGCAGAGCCCUGGAGAUGGGCCCAAUGGGGUCUGGACUCAGUCCCACCCCUCGCAACUGCCAUCACAACCCUGGAGACAUACAAGAGAUGGCCUGUGGAGAAGUUCC